CGCCCCCUGCAGUGUUCGUUAGUGACCGGGUAUUUUCUUGAGCCUAAUCAAUGCCCGGGGGGCAUAAUGAAGAUGCUGUUGUGCAUGUCCGCCCCGAGCGGAAAGCCUGAUGCAUCCCUGUUGCUCCCACUUGAACCUACAGGUUCAAGAGCAAAGGCUCACGACGGCACAGGUGGGGGGCGC
RNAcentral lists this non-coding RNA (183 nucleotides) under Sedimenticola sp. RNAcentral describes it as "6S RNA". It matches the Rfam family "6S / SsrS RNA". Rfam says of the family: E. coli 6S RNA was the first non coding RNA to be sequenced, but its function was unknown until recently. The record is from RNAcentral. Lineage: Bacteria; Pseudomonadati; Pseudomonadota; Gammaproteobacteria; Chromatiales; Sedimenticolaceae.